This 439-nucleotide ribosomal RNA is filed under the name uncultured bacterium. Its description in RNAcentral is "partial 16S ribosomal RNA". It matches the Rfam family "Bacterial small subunit ribosomal RNA", at positions 339 to 795 of the family's 1533-position model. The record is from RNAcentral.
CUAAGGGGGGCAGCAGUGAGGAAUAUUGCACAAUGGGGGGAACCCUGAUGCAGCAACGCCGCGUGGAGGAUGACGCAUUUCGGUGUGUAAACUCCUUUUAUAUGUCAAGAAAAUGACGGUAGCAUAUGAAUAAGCGCCGGCUAACUCCGUGCCAGCAGCCGCGGUAAUACGGAGGGCGCAAGCGUUACUCGGAAUCACUGGGCGUAAAGGACGCGUAGGCGGGUUGAAAAGUCAGGUGUGAAAGCCUACGGCUUAACUGUAGAACUGCACUUGAAACUCUCAAUCUAGAGUAUGGGAGGGGCAGAUGGAAUUAGUGGUGUAGGGGUAAAAUCCGUAGAUAUCACUAGGAAUACCUAAAGCGAAGGCGAUCUGCUGGAACAUUACUGACGCUAAGGCGUGAAAGCGUGGGGAGCAAACAGGAUUAGAUACCCCGGUAGUC